RNAcentral lists this long non-coding RNA (224 nucleotides) under Elaeis guineensis (African oil palm). Its description in RNAcentral is "long non-coding RNA (EGUI_LNC032067)". The record is from RNAcentral. Lineage: Eukaryota; Viridiplantae; Streptophyta; Magnoliopsida; Arecales; Arecaceae.
GUCGUUCAUAGCUACACAAUCGUCUGACCUCUAUAGAUGGGCCAUACGAAGUCCUUGGACCGAUCAACCCUCCGUGAGAGUGCUAGCUCGCACAGUCAGCUUCUGAUGGUAGAUCUAAAUUGAUCUCUUCCUUUGAUUACCUCAAAUUUUUUUGAUAUCGAAGAUAGAUCAAAGAGGAUAUUGGAUGGUGGAAAAAAGUAUGAUGAAAACUCUCUUCUCUUUGA